AACACUGUUAACCUGCGGUACCUGCGGAGGGAUCAUUACCGAGUCUUCGUACUCAAAACAACCCUUCUGUGGACCUGAAUAAAACCGUUGCCUCGGCAGGCGGCCCUACCUACGGGCCAGAUAGUUCGGCUGCCUCCAGGGAGGAAACCCUCCCUGAGGUGCUGGCGCCAGCCGCUGGCCCCAAACCAAAACUCUAGUAACUUUUACCUUCUGAGUUUUAAUGCAAGAAAUAAGUCGAAA
This 240-nucleotide unclassified non-coding RNA is filed under the name soil metagenome. RNAcentral describes it as "partial contains 5.8S ribosomal RNA, internal transcribed spacer 2, and large subunit ribosomal RNA". The record is from RNAcentral.